This 230-nucleotide long non-coding RNA is filed under the name Rhinopithecus roxellana (golden snub-nosed monkey). Its description in RNAcentral is "lncRNA (ENSRROG00000045850.1)". Lineage: Eukaryota; Metazoa; Chordata; Mammalia; Primates; Cercopithecidae. The record is from RNAcentral.
GUUGGAUGGAAACAUUCCAUAGAGGAGUUGAAGGAAAAAUUGUUGUUUUAAAUCCAUUCCAAUAUAUGGCCAUGUGGCUCUUUGGAGCAGUGUUCCAUCAUGUUCCACGAUGGUGACAUCAUACAGAGCACAGAAAUCAAUGUUAGCAGAUAACCAGCCCAUAUAAAAUCGAGUAAGUAAAGUUUUAAAAAUUGUAUCAUGCAAUAUAGAUACUUUUAUGUAAUAGCAUA